This 301-nucleotide ribosomal RNA is filed under the name uncultured bacterium. Its description in RNAcentral is "partial 16S ribosomal RNA". It matches the Rfam family "Bacterial small subunit ribosomal RNA", at positions 509 to 807 of the family's 1533-position model. The record is from RNAcentral.
CAGCCGCCGCGGUAAUACGAAGGGUGCAAGCGUUAAUCGGAAUUACUGGGCGUAAAGCGUGCGUAGGCGGUGAGUUAAGUCUGCUGUGAAAUCCCCGGGCUCAACCUGGGAAUGGCAGUGGAUACUGGCUCGCUAGAGUGUGUCAGAGGAUGGUGGAAUUCCCGGUGUAGCGGUGAAAUGCGUAGAGAUCGGGAGGAACAUCAGUGGCGAAGGCGGCCGUCUGGGACAACACUGACGCUGAGGCACGAAAGCGUGGGGAGCAAACAGGAUUAGAUACCCCAGUAGUCCCUGUCUCUUAUAC